GUCAAUUUGUUAGUUAAAUACGCCAAAUAGAUAAAACAAUUCUAAAAAAAUUAAAGUUUUCUUGUUGUUUUUCGAUUGUAGCAAGAUUUCUAGUAGACUAAUUGUUUACAGACACAAUAAUAAAAGCACAGUAUAUCCAAUACUUUCCCCGGUGCGCUCGAAAUCUAAAAUUCACACCUGUAAUUGUAUUAACAUUAUAAUAGAAUUCUUAUAUAUAUAUAAGAAUUAAUUUUAUCCGACAUACAAAUGACUUCCAUGGACGUGUG
This is a non-coding RNA of Cinara cedri, 266 nucleotides long. The record is from the annotation of a GenBank genome assembly. NCBI's taxonomy places the organism in Eukaryota, Metazoa, Arthropoda, Insecta, Hemiptera, Aphididae.